Molecule: unclassified non-coding RNA, 227 nt
Filed under: Hevea brasiliensis (rubber tree)
Lineage: Eukaryota; Viridiplantae; Streptophyta; Magnoliopsida; Malpighiales; Euphorbiaceae
Source: RNAcentral
CACCCAAGAUGCAGCUGCUAAUAAGAAGAAAAAGAGAGGUCAGCGAGCAGCUGGAGCUGAUAAGAGUGGUAGAGGACUCCGCCAAUUUAGUAUGAAAGUGUGCGAAAAAGUGGAAAGCAAAGGAACACUACUUACAAUGAGGUUGCAGAUGAACUCGUAGCUGAGUUUGCUGACCCUAGCAACAGCGUUUCAUCUCCAGAUCAGCAACAAUAUGAUGAGAAAAACAU